UUAAGCCCCGCAACGAGCGCAACCCUUGUCCUUAGUUGCCAGCAUUCAGUUGGGCACGUCUAAGGAGACUGCCGGUGUCAAACCGGAGGAAGUGGGGAUGACGUCAAGUCCUCAUGGCCCUUAUGUCCAGGGCUACACACGUGCUACAAUGGCCGGUACAAAGGGGCGCAAGACCGCGAGGUGGAGCAAAUCCCAAAAACCGGUCUCAGUUCGGAUUGGAGUCUGCAACUCGACUCCAUGAAGUUGGAAUCGCUAGUAAUCGCGUAUCAGCAUGACGCGGUGAAUACGUUCCCGGGCCCUU
RNAcentral lists this ribosomal RNA (301 nucleotides) under uncultured Syntrophaceae bacterium. RNAcentral's name for it is "bacterial SSU rRNA". It matches the Rfam family "Bacterial small subunit ribosomal RNA", at positions 1080 to 1382 of the family's 1533-position model. Lineage: Bacteria; Pseudomonadati; Thermodesulfobacteriota; Syntrophia; Syntrophales; Syntrophaceae. The record is from RNAcentral.